CCUACGGGAGGCAGCAGUGGGGAAUAUUGGGCAAUGGGCGAAAGCCUGACCCAGCAACGCCGCGUGAAGGAAGAAGGCUUUCGGGUUGUAAACUUCUUUUGACAGGGAAGAGCAGAAGACGGUACCUGUCGAAUAAGCCACGGCUAACUACGUGCCAGCAGCCGCGGUAAUACGUGGGUGGCAAGCGUUGUCCGGAUUUACUGGGGGUAAAGGGCGUGUAGCCGGGCUGACAAGUCAGAUGUGAAAUCCGGGGGCUCAACCCCCGAACUGCAUUUGAAACUGUUGGUCUUGAGUAUCGGAGAGGCAGGCGGAAUUCCUAGUGUAGCGGUGAAAUGCGGAGAUAUUAGGAGGAACACCAGUGGCGAAGGCGGCCUGCUGGACGACAACUGACGGUGAGGCGCGAAAGCGUGGGGAGCAAACAGGAUUAGAUACCCCUGUAGUC
RNAcentral lists this ribosomal RNA (442 nucleotides) under uncultured bacterium. RNAcentral describes it as "partial 16S ribosomal RNA". It matches the Rfam family "Bacterial small subunit ribosomal RNA", at positions 338 to 795 of the family's 1533-position model. The record is from RNAcentral.